CUACGGGGUGCUGCAGUGGGGAAUAUUGCACAAUGGAGGAAACUCUGAUGCAGCAACGCCGCGUGGAGGAUGACGCAUUUCGGUGUGUAAACUCCUUUUAUAUGGGAAGAUAAUGACGGUACCAUAUGAAUAAGCACCGGCUAACUCCGUGCCAGCAGCCGCGGUAAUACGGAGGGUGCAAGCGUUACUCGGAAUCACUGGGCGUAAAGCGCGCGCAGGCGGGUUUGUAAGUUGGAUGUGAAAUCCUAUGGCUUAACCAUAGAACUGCAUCCAAAACUACUUACCUAGAGUCUGGGAGGGGAAGAUGGAAUUAGUGGUGUAGGGGUAAAAUCCGUAGAGAUCACUAGGAAUACCAAAAGCGAAGGCGAUCUUCUGGAACAGUACUGACGCCGAGGCGCGAAAGCGUGGGGAGCAAACAGGAUUAGAUACCCGCGUAGUC
RNAcentral lists this ribosomal RNA (439 nucleotides) under uncultured bacterium. Its description in RNAcentral is "partial 16S ribosomal RNA". It matches the Rfam family "Bacterial small subunit ribosomal RNA", at positions 339 to 795 of the family's 1533-position model. The record is from RNAcentral.